CGGUCUCCGANCUGUUUAAAGUUGAUCUGCUCCAUGAUUACUGCGCAGCUACACAUGCAAGUCGAGCGGCAGCACAAGUGAGUUUACUUAUGAGGUGGCGAGCGGCGGACGGGUGAGUAAUGCCUAGGAUCUGCCCAGUCGAGGGGGAUAACAGUUGGAAACGACUGCUAAUACCGCAUACGCCCUACGGGGGAAAGGAGGGGACCUUCG
Molecule: ribosomal RNA, 210 nt
Filed under: uncultured bacterium
Lineage: Bacteria
Description: partial 16S ribosomal RNA
Rfam family: Bacterial small subunit ribosomal RNA
Source: RNAcentral